This 25-nucleotide unclassified non-coding RNA is filed under the name Mus musculus (house mouse). Its description in RNAcentral is "oocyte_clustered_small_RNA12974". Lineage: Eukaryota; Metazoa; Chordata; Mammalia; Rodentia; Muridae. The record is from RNAcentral.
UGGCAAUACUUGACAGGGAUUAGGA